RNAcentral lists this long non-coding RNA (711 nucleotides) under Equus caballus (horse). RNAcentral describes it as "lncRNA (ENSECAG00000050837.1)". Lineage: Eukaryota; Metazoa; Chordata; Mammalia; Perissodactyla; Equidae. The record is from RNAcentral.
UUAUGUUGUGGGGAUAAACAUUAUGUCUCACUAGGGAAUGUCUGCCCCGCGUGACAUUGUAAGAGCUCAUAAAUCCACCCUUCAGGCAGUGUUAAUUAAACAUGCCAAAGGAGAUCUCAUUUUAAAAAUGGCCAAAAUGGGGCAACUUCAGUUUAUUCAAACUGAUAUGUGCACUCUGAAAAAGCCGGCUACAACACGGGAAGGCUGUUUGAAACAUAGGAGGCUUCUAAAUGACAUCGGAAAUACUUUACUGCCUCCUUAAGAGAAAACAAUUAAAUAAUUCAACAUGUUAGCAGCCAAAGCCACAUCUGCUGCUUCUCUCACUGAGACUCCCCACUUCAACUCCCCUGAAAUUCCUGAUCUAAAAUUAAACAAGUGAAAAUAAGUAAACCUGUGAGACAAUUUGGAAUCGUAAUGGCCGUUCUGGGGAGCCUCUGUUUCAGAUAGCCAAGACUGAGGAUCCAGAACGAGAAGCACGACUUUAGAAGCUGCUUCUGGAACAUGCCGGGUUCGUGAGAAGGCAGCGCUCUACAAGCCACAAAGCAGGCCUCACCAGACACCGGCUCUGCCAGGGCCUUGAACGUGGACUUCUCAGCCUCCAGGACUGUGAGAAAUAAAUGCUUGCUGUUUAAGUGCAUAGUCUAUGGUAUUUUUGUUACAGCCGCCUACCCUGACUAAGACACGGUGGGAUAUCACACUGAAAAUGAGGUG